UACGAAGGGGGCUAGCGUUGCUCGGAAUCACUGGGCGUAAAGGGUGCGUAGGCGGGUCUUUAAGUCAGGGGUGAAAUCCUGGAGCUCAACUCCAGAACUGCCUUUGAUACUGGCGAUCUCGAGUCCGGGAGAGGUGAGUGGAACUGCGAGUGUAGAGGUGAAAUUCGUAGAUAUUCGCAAGAACACCGGUGGCGAAGGCGGCUCACUGGCCCGGUACUGACGCUGAGGUGCGAAAGCGUGGGGAGCAAACAGG
This 253-nucleotide ribosomal RNA is filed under the name uncultured bacterium. RNAcentral's name for it is "partial 16S ribosomal RNA". It matches the Rfam family "Bacterial small subunit ribosomal RNA", at positions 524 to 776 of the family's 1533-position model. The record is from RNAcentral.